UUUCGUCAAGAACGAAUUUGUGUUUCUCACAGCUGAGAACUAUCAACAAGUUCCAUUUCUAUUCUCAAAAUUUAUCCCUAUUUAAUUUAUUCUCAGAAAGAAUGCUAAUAAGAGGAGUAGGAGACAUAUUUGAACUAAAAAAAUAAAGAUUUCACUAAUUACUUUGUAUUAAGAAAAUAUUUUUCAUUGCAACAACAUAUCGAGAAUGCAGUGUGAUGCAUGCGUCUUGUAUUAAAACCUUGAAAAAAUAUUUUUCCGUUGCUACGAUCAUUCCCACACCCA
RNAcentral lists this long non-coding RNA (282 nucleotides) under Gossypium barbadense (sea-island cotton). RNAcentral describes it as "long non-coding RNA (GBAR_LNC011311)". The record is from RNAcentral. Lineage: Eukaryota; Viridiplantae; Streptophyta; Magnoliopsida; Malvales; Malvaceae.